GCAGAGGUGGCGGAACGGCUACGCACCCGACUGCAGAUCGGGCGAACGGGGUUCAACUCCCCGCCUCUGCU
RNAcentral lists this transfer RNA (71 nucleotides) under Candidatus Aenigmatarchaeota archaeon. RNAcentral describes it as "tRNA-Cys". It matches the Rfam family "tRNA". From Rfam's summary of the family: Transfer RNA (tRNA) molecules are approximately 80 nucleotides in length. The record is from RNAcentral. Lineage: Archaea; Nanobdellati; Candidatus Aenigmatarchaeota.